Molecule: ribosomal RNA, 336 nt
Filed under: Semiaphis dauci
Lineage: Eukaryota; Metazoa; Arthropoda; Insecta; Hemiptera; Aphididae
Description: partial 12S ribosomal RNA
Source: RNAcentral
UUAGAUACCCUAUUAUAAAAAUUUAAAUUAAUUUACUAAAAAAUUAAUAGUUAUGUUCUUUAAAUUUAAAAAAUUUGGCGGUAUUUUAGUCUUAUUAGAGGAACCUGUUUUUUAAUUGAUAAUCCACGAUUAAUUUUACUUAUUUUGAUUAAUUCAUAUAUCGCUGUCAUGAAUAUAUUAAAAAAUUUAUUUUCUUUAUUUAUUUUUUUAAUUUAUGUUAAGUCAAGAUGUGGUUUAUAAAUGAGUUAAUAAUGGGUUACAUUGAAUUUUAUUUUUGGAUUUAAAAUGAAAAUUAAAAUGAAAUUGGAUUUAAUAGUAAAUUUAUUUAUUUAAUAA